GAUGAACGCUGGCGGCGUGCUUAACACAUGCAAGUCGAACGGAAAGGCCAUGCUCUUGUGGGGUGCUCGAGUGGCGCACGGGUGAGUAUCACGUGAGUAACCCGUCCUUGACCUUGUGAUAUCUUCAGGGAACUGGGGCUCAUAUCGGAUAGGAGCUACUGCUCCAUGGUGGGGGAUGGUAAGUUUCGGUGGUGGUGGCUGGACUGGCUGCUUAUCAGCUUGUUGGUGGGGUAGUGGCUUACCAAGGCUUUGACGGGUAGCCGGCCUGAGAGGGGGACCGGCGACAUGGCGACUGAGAGAGGGCGCAGUCGCGUACGGGAGGCAGCAGGGGGAAAUAUGGCAGAGUGAGGGGAAGCCUGAUACGACAGCGCCGCGAGCGUGAUGCCGGCCUUCGGGUUAAAAACCGCUUUCGCCUGUGACGAAGCGGGAGUGACGGUAAUGGGUAAAGAAGCACCGGCUAACUACGUG
This 468-nucleotide ribosomal RNA is filed under the name uncultured bacterium. RNAcentral describes it as "partial 16S ribosomal RNA". It matches the Rfam family "Bacterial small subunit ribosomal RNA", at positions 28 to 507 of the family's 1533-position model. The record is from RNAcentral.